AUAAAAAAUCCGCUAGUUUUGGGCUUUUGCAAAAUCGGGCCACCAUUUUCGUUUUUGCAAAUUCGGUUCGCUUUUUCAAAAAAGAUGACCAAAUUAUCCUUAUUUCAAAAUGCAUAAGAAAUACAUGCAUUAAUUGUCUUAAAAAAUAUAGCUGACAAAUUAUUACAGUUACUUUUUCUUGGAAAAUGAAAUUCUCAUUAACAUACAAAUAAAAAACUUCAAAUAAUAAAAGUAAAAAAGAAAAUAAAAUACACCUUAAAUUGUGCAACAUUGUUCCAAAUUGUGCAAUAUUUCUUCCAAAUAAUGUAAUAUUUGUGUAAACAGUGCAAUGUUUGCACAAUUUAUAUAAUGUUGUAUAAUUUUUUAUACUAAAUUACGAAUAAUAUAGUAUACUACGUGCAAAUAAUAUAACAUAUUACAAUAUACUAUAAAAAUCAUGUAUUAUAUGUAUAAACGGUGAAUAUUUUGCACUAUUUGUAUAAAUAUUUACACCAUUUGCAUAGAUGUUGUACUAUUAUGAGAAAAUGUUGCACAAUUUAGAUAUUAUGUUGCACUCUUUCUUUUUAAAAAUUAAAAUGUAUUGUAUAUAAAAUAAAGUGUUAAAUUUUUUGGAAAUGACAACUAUUAAGCCAUAAUUAUAUGUACCUUUCUGGAGAGAUUAGAAUUCUCAUUUAAUUAAGAUAAAAUAAAAAAUAAAAUAUCAUUAAUACAAUGAAAGAGUGCAAUAUCUUUUUAAAGAGUGCAACAGUCUCAAAUAGUGCAACAUUCUCUUCCAAAUAGUGCAAUAUUUAUGUAAAUAGUGCAAUAUAUGCAUCGUUAAUACACAUAUUGCAUGAUUUUUAUACAAAAAUACGAAUAAUAUAAUAUAUUACGUGAAAAUAACACGAAAAUAAUAUAACAUAUUAUAAUAUACUAUAAAAAUCAUGCAUUAUAUGUAUAAACGAUGAAUAUUUUGCACUCUUUGUACAAAUAUUUACACUAUUUGCAUAGAUGUUGCACUAUUAUGAGAUAAUAUUGCACCAUUUAGAUGUUAUGUUGCACUCUUUUUUAAAAAAAAAUUAAGUGUAUUGUAUAUUAAAUAUAGUGUUAAAUUUUUUGAAAAUGACAACUGUUAAGUCAUAAUUAUAUGUACCUUUCUCGAGAGACGAGAAUUCUUAUUUAAUUAAGAUAAAAUAAAAAAUAAAAUAUCAUUAGAGUCCAAUAUCCUCUUAAAGAGUGUAGCAUAGUCUCAAAUAGUGCAAUAUCCUCUUAAAAAGUGCAGCAUAGUUUCAAAUAGUGCAACAUUCUCUUUCAAAUAGUGCAAUGUUUAUGUAAAUAGUGCAAUAUAUGUAUCGUUAAUACACAUAUUGAAUGAUUUUUAUACAAAAUUACGAAUAAUAUAAUAUAUUACGUGGAAAUAACACGAAAAUAAUAUAACAUAUCACAAAAUACUAUAAAAAUCAUACAUUAUAUUAUAAAUGGUGCAUAUUUUGUACUAUUUGUAUAAAUAUUUAUACCAUUUGUAUAUAUAUUGCACUAUUAUGAGAGAAUAUUGCACCAUUUAGAUGGUAUGUAUUGCAUGAUUUUUAUACAAAAUUACGAAUAAUAUAAUAUAUUACGUGAAAAUAACACGAAAAUAAUAUAAUAUAUUAUAAUAUACUAUAAAAAUCAUGCAUUAUAUGUAUAAACGAUGAAUAUUUUGCACUCUUUGUACAAAUAUUUACACUAUUUGCAUAGAUGUUGCACUAUUAUGAGAUAAUAUUGCACCAUUUAGAUGUUAUGUUGCACUCUUUUUUAAAAAAAAAUUAAGUGUAUUGUAUAUUAAAUAUAGUGUUAAAUUUUUUGAAAAUGACAACUGUUAAGUCAUAAUUAUAUGUACCUUUCUCGAGAGACGAGAAUUCUUAUUUAAUUAAGAUAAAAUAAAAAAUAAAAUAUCAUUAGAGUCCAAUAUCCUCUUAAAGAGUGUAGCAUAGUCUCAAAUAGUGCAAUAUCCUCUUAAAAAGUGCAGCAUAGUUUCAAAUAGUGCAACAUUCUCUUUCAAAUAGUGCAAUGUUUAUGUAAAUAGUGCAAUAUAUGUAUCGUUAAUACACAUAUUGAAUGAUUUUUAUACAAAAUUACGAAUAAUAUAAUAUAUUACGUGGAAAUAACACGAAAAUAAUAUAACAUAUCACAAAAUACUAUAAAAAUCAUACAUUAUAUUAUAAAUGGUGCAUAUUUUGUACUAUUUGUAUAAAUAUUUAUACCAUUUGUAUAUAUAUUGCACUAUUAUGAGAGAAUAUUGCACCAUUUAGAUGGUAUGUAUUGCAUGAUUUUUAUACAAAAUUACGAAUAAUAUAAUAUAUUACGUGAAAAUAACACGAAAAUAAUAUAAUAUAUUAUAAUAUACUAUAAAAAUCAUGCAUUAUAUGUAUAAACGGUGAAUAUUUUGCACUCUUUGUACAAAUAUUUACACUAUUUGCAUAGAUGUUGCACUAUUAUGAGAUAAUAUUGCACCAUUUAGAUGUUAUGUUGCACUCUUUUUUAAAAAAAAAUUAAGUGUAUUGUAUAUUAAAUAUAGUGUUNAAGGCUUGCCCAUCUUCGAGCAGGAAGGGGGCGCCGCACGGGCUUUACGAAGAAAAAAGUUUUGUCCGUGACAGUUGGUAUCAGAGCGAGGAUUAUCAGAGCGAGGAUUAUCAGAGCGAGUUCGUAGCUGGGAGCUAUGUUGUCAUCAGACGUUGUCAUCGUCGAUAUAGCUGCUGAGCCUUCGUUGCUGACCAAGCGGGAAAGGUGCAAGGAGUCGCAGGCACUUGAGUAGGAGUCCCUCUCCUUGAAGUACCGUGCGGGGCUGCAGAAGGAUGUUACGACGAGCGAGAUGCGUAAGAUGUGCUGCUUCAGGACAUCAGUGCCCAGGUCAGGUAGGUCAUGGACCUCGCGACGAGGGUGGCACUAUCCGAGCAGACCGAGAGUGAUCAUGGUAAGCCCCAAUGGCGAGCUAGGCCAAAGGUGGGGGAGUGUACCGUGAUAUAGGGAACGCAGAGAAG
This 2999-nucleotide long non-coding RNA is filed under the name Ananas comosus (pineapple). RNAcentral describes it as "long non-coding RNA (ACOM_LNC000005)". Lineage: Eukaryota; Viridiplantae; Streptophyta; Magnoliopsida; Poales; Bromeliaceae. The record is from RNAcentral.